GAGUUUGAUCCUGGCUCAGAACGAACGCUGGCGGCGUGGAUAAGACAUCCAAGUCGAACGGGAGAAUUGCUAGCUUGCUAAUAAUUCUCUAGUGGCGCACGGGUGAGUAACACGUGAGUAACCUGCCUCUUAGUGGGGGAUAGCCCUGGGAAACCGGGAUUAAUACCGCAUACGAUUGAAAGAUCAAAGCAGCAAUGCGCUAGGAGAUGGGCUCGCGGCCUAUUAGUUAGUUGGUGAGGUAACGGCUCACCAAGGCGAUGACGGGUAGCCGGUCUGAGAGGAUGUCCGGCCACACUGGAACUGAGACACGGUCCAGACACCUACGGGUGGCAGCAGUCGAGAAUCAUUCACAAUGGGGGCAACCCUGAUGGUGCGACGCCGCGUGGGGGAAUGAAGGUCUUCGGAUUGUAAACCCCUGUCAUGUGGGAGCAAAUUAAAAAGAUAGUACCACAAGAGGAAGAGACGGCUAACUCUGUGCCAGCCGCCGCGGUAAUUC
This 496-nucleotide ribosomal RNA is filed under the name uncultured bacterium. RNAcentral describes it as "bacterial SSU rRNA". It matches the Rfam family "Bacterial small subunit ribosomal RNA", at positions 9 to 526 of the family's 1533-position model. The record is from RNAcentral.